Molecule: ribosomal RNA, 538 nt
Filed under: uncultured organism
Description: bacterial SSU rRNA
Rfam family: Bacterial small subunit ribosomal RNA
Source: RNAcentral
ACACAUGCAAGUCGAACGGCUCUUCGGAGCUAGUGGCGACGGGUGAGUACGCGUGAGGAUCUGCUUCAGGAGGGGGAUACGACGUGGAAAGGGUCGCUAAUACCGCAUAUGCCUACGGGUGAAAGAUUAUCGGGUGGAGAUGACUUCGCGUCAGAUAAGCUAGUUGGUGGGGUAAGAGCCUACCAAGGCGACGAUCUGUAGCUGGUCUGAGAGGAUGUCAGCCACACUGGGACUGAGACACGGCCCAGACUCCUACGGGAGGCAGCAGUGGGGAAUUUUCCGCAAUGGGCGCAAGCCUGACGGAGCAAGACCGCGUGCGGGAUGACGGCCUAAUGGUUGUAAACCGCUUUUCUCUGGGAAGAUGAUGACGGCCCCAGAGGAAUCAGCCUCGGCUAACUCCGUGCCAGCAGCCGCGGUAAUACGGAGGAGGCAAGCGUUAUCCGGAAUUAUUGGGCGUAAAGCGUCCGUAGGUGGUUAUUCAAGUCUGCUGUCAAAGCGUGGGGCUUAACUCCAUAGAGGCAGUGGAAACUGGAUGACU